UCCCCAGUGGCUCAGUGGUAAAGAAUCUGCCCACCAAACUGGAGACCCAGGUUCCAUUCCUGGCUUGGGAA
RNAcentral lists this transfer RNA (71 nucleotides) under Ovis aries (sheep). It matches the Rfam family "tRNA". Rfam says of the family: Transfer RNA (tRNA) molecules are approximately 80 nucleotides in length. Their secondary structure includes four short double-helical elements and three loops (D, anti-codon, and T loops). The record is from Rfam by way of RNAcentral. Lineage: Eukaryota; Metazoa; Chordata; Mammalia; Artiodactyla; Bovidae.